This 468-nucleotide ribosomal RNA is filed under the name uncultured bacterium. Its description in RNAcentral is "partial 16S ribosomal RNA". It matches the Rfam family "Bacterial small subunit ribosomal RNA", at positions 28 to 507 of the family's 1533-position model. The record is from RNAcentral.
GACGAACGCUGGCGGCGUGCUUAACACAUGCAAGUCGAACGGAAAGGCCCGGCUUUUGUGGGGUGCUCGAGUGGCGAACGGGUGAGUAACACGCGAGUAACAUGCCCUUGACUGUGGGAUAACUUCAGGAGAAAGGGGCUAAUACCGGAUAGGAGCUCCUGCUGCACGGUGGGGGUUGGAAAGUGACGGCGGUGGGGGAUGGUCUCGCGGGUUAUCAGCUUCUUGGGGGGGUAGGGGCGGCCCAAGUCUUCGACGGGUAGCCGGCCUUGGAGGGUGGCCGGCCACAUGGCUCCUGCGAGACGGCCCAGACUCCUAUGGUCGGCAGCGGUCGGGAGUCUUGCGCAAUGGGCCGGCGCCUGUGGUGGCGACGCCGCGUUCGUGAUGACGGCUUUCGGGUUGUAAACCGCUUUCGACUGUGCCGUGGCCUGAGUGACGGUACUGGGUCAGAAAGCCCCGGCUAACUACGUG